GACGAACGCUGGCGGCGUGCUUAACACAUGCAAGUCGAACGGAAAGGCCCUGCUUUUGUGGGGUGCUCGAGUGGCGAACGGGUGAGUAACACGUGAGUAACCUGCCCUUGACUUUGGGAUAACUGCAGGAAACUGGGGCUAAUACCGGAUAGGAGCUCCUGCUGCAUGGUGGGGGUUGGAAAGUUUCGGCGGUUGGGGAUGGACUCGCGGCUUAUCAGCUUGUUGGUGGGGUAGUGGCUUACCAAGGCCUUGACGGGUAGCCGGGCUGAGAGGGUGACCGGCCAUAUUGGGACUGAGAUACGGCCCAGCCUCCUACGGGCGGCAGCAGUGAGGAAUGCUGAACGAUGGGAGGCAGCAUGAUGCAGCAACGCCGCGUGCGGGAUGACGGCCUUCGGGUUGUCACCCGUCUUCGCCUGCGACGAAGCGUGAGUGACGGUAAUGGGUAAAGAAGCACCGGCUAACUACGUG
This 468-nucleotide ribosomal RNA is filed under the name uncultured bacterium. Its description in RNAcentral is "partial 16S ribosomal RNA". It matches the Rfam family "Bacterial small subunit ribosomal RNA", at positions 28 to 507 of the family's 1533-position model. The record is from RNAcentral.